UACGGGGGGGGCAAGCGUUGUUCGGAAUUACUGGGCGUAAAGGGCUCGUAGGUGGCCAACUAAGUCAGACGUGAAAUCCCUCAGCUUAACUGGGGAACUGCGUCUGAUACUGGAUGGCUUGAGUUUGGGAGAGGGACGCGGAAUUCCAGGUGUAGCGGUGAAAUGCGUAGAUAUCUGGAGGAACACCGGUGGCGAAGGCGGCGUCCUGGACCAACACUGACACUGAAAAGCGAAAGCCAGGGGAGCAAACGGG
RNAcentral lists this ribosomal RNA (253 nucleotides) under uncultured bacterium. RNAcentral describes it as "partial 16S ribosomal RNA". It matches the Rfam family "Bacterial small subunit ribosomal RNA", at positions 524 to 776 of the family's 1533-position model. The record is from RNAcentral.